AGGGAUGGGAGUACUGUAUAUAUAUUCACACAUCAUCCCCAAGGCUACACAUUCCAGCUUCUAGAAAGGCAGCAGGACAGAGGAAGCCUCCAGAUCUCCAAAAAAAAGCCAAGCAUGGGCAGUCUGAAGACAGUAUUCCUGAUCACCCUAAUCCUGGCCAUCUCUUAUCAACAUGUAGAAGCACUACUUCCUAGUGUGCCGCAGGACUGUUGUUUUGGCUUUACUCAGAGAAGUUAUAUUCGACGAAAUAACGUAAGGAGUUACUACAAGACUUCCAGUGAUUGCUACUUAAAUUCUGUUGUGUUUGUCAUGAAGAAUGGUAAGCAGAUCUGUGCUGACCCCGGAAUGACAUGGGUGAAGAAUCUAAUGUCACAGCUGAAAGAAAGGAAGUAAAAACAAUUUUGAAGAAUUGGAGAGAAAUUUCUCUGGGACGUGAACGAAGACCAUGAAUUGUUCCCCCUUUUCCAGAUUCUCCUUAGCAGCUUCUCUGCUUUGCACACUAUUUCAUCACUCAAAGGCAAACAUCUACAAACAUUUAAACAGCACUGAAAAUAGCAUAACUGGGGCCACUUAUCCAGUGCCCAAAAUGCAAUAUCAACAAAGAGGACUACAUAAUUUGUAUGCAUGCAUGUAAAUGUAGAAAUAAGUGGUAUAGUUUAAAUAGAAAGACAAUGCAUCUCACCAUCAUGAGGAAGAUGGGGGAACCCAGUGAUGAGCAACUUCAAGGCUUCUCCCUUUUUAGGGUACUUUAUCUUUAAACUGAACUAAGAUAGCUCUUUAAAUAGAUGGCUGUCUUCCAAUAGCUGUUCAAAAAGAGGAUGGCCCACUCUAUAGGUUUCCCCCUCUCCCCAAAAACUUUAGGAAUUGUUGUUUAUGGCCUGCAAAUAAAUGACUCACUCUUUAUGCAACUCCAGUUCCCAGAAUUCUGUGGGCUGGAAACCAUGAUCAUUAGGCCACGAUCAAAACAUUUUUAAACUUUGCAGUGCAGACAGAAUAAUGGCUGAGAGUUGUAUCUAAUGUUAGUUAUCAUCAGAGUGGACCCACUGAAAUUAAAGGACAUUUAUUUAUUUAACAAAAUUUAUAGAUCUCUUGAUUGUAAUAAAACCUCAAAGCGAUUUACAAAAAAACAUUAAAAUGAUUACUAAAAAGACAGUUAAAACAGAUAUUUAUAAACACUCAAAAACGAAUUAAAAUUAACAAUAAGCUAGAAACAAAACACAUUAUUUAGGCUUGCCUAAACAAAAAAUUUUAAGCAGGUGCCAGAAAGAGUACAACAAAGGUGUCUACCUGAUGUCAAUAGGCAGGGAGUUCGAAAGUGUAGAUGCUGCCACGCUGGAAGGUUGAUUUCUUACAACUGCAGAACGAUUGUUAUGUGGCACCUGAAACAGUGCCAGUUCUACAGAUCAUAGCAGUCAAGUGGGCAUAUGUGGGGUAAGGCAAUCCUGUGAGUAAACUGGUCCCAAACUAUUACUCUCUGAGUAAAACUUAAUUGGAUAUAACCCAGAGUCUUUGAAUGCCCCCGCACUACCACUAGCACCGUGGCCUUUCUGGAUAUAACCUCCCAUUUAUGAAAUAAGCAAACUAACACCAGAUUAUAUAUGAAACCACCAACAGCAGCAACUGACAAGCGGGUCAUAUUCACUACUGUACUAAACAGUGCUGCCAUCACUGGGCUAUCGAUGCCUCCUUCCGGCCUCUCCUGAUUUCACUGCAGCAUCACCAAGUCCAGGCUUCCUCCCUCAUCCAGCCUGCACUGUCCAAGAUAGCUCUCACAGGAGGACUCUUCCUCCUCCUCUCCUCUUGGAACAAGACUUCUUCCAUGUUUGGUGUACUCCCUCCUGAAAGAAGCUCAGCAAUAGCUUCCAAAAGCAAGACACUUUUGGUCCAUCAGGCCAAAGGAGCAGGCUGAUUGUAACUCUUACUACUGAUAUUACUUUAGAAUGUUCUCAUGUUUGUAGACGUUUUAGAGAAGAUGGAAUAUAAGCUUAAAAGAAUAAAGAUAAAACGAACAGUCAAUAUGUUGUUUUAUUAUUUAUUUAUUUACUAAUUAAUAACAUUUGUAGGCCGCCCCCAUUAAACAUUCUUCACUUUAAAAGGGGGGGGGAAUCCUAUAGUCACCGUAUGAAAACAUUUGCUUUAGAAGCCAGGUAAGAACAGGCCACUGCAGCAGUGUCGACCAAGAUAACACAGGUACAUAUCUGUCACAUGUACUUCUGACUUAUCUGAUGGAGCAAAGAUGCACUUCUCAGAUGCCGUACUUUCGUCUUGAAGGAAAUAGUGCAUGGAUGCAGCUUCAGAACUUUCUGUGGUAAAUAGGGUAGAUAGGGAAUCUGUCCGUUUUUGUUUCUUUCAGUUUCUAAUUUUUCCC
Molecule: long non-coding RNA, 2368 nt
Organism: Rhineura floridana
Lineage: Eukaryota; Metazoa; Chordata; Lepidosauria; Squamata; Rhineuridae
Exons: 3
Source: RefSeq, a predicted model, not a curated record